GUUUCCGCCAGGCUGUUCUCCAGGAUCCAGCCCUCUGACUCCGAGUCCGGAUCCCCGAGCCGGAUGACGUUCUCCAUGGCCGUCUGCAGGGAGCCAACAGGCUGCAGAGCUGAACUCUCUGGUCCUUCUCUCUCCUGGUUCCGUCCAUCAGGAGCCCAGUGGACCGGCGCUGGACGGUAAUUUACACUCAGGGGUUCUGGUCGUGUUCUGGUCGGGUUAACGGUCCUGUUAACCAGUUCCAGUUGCACAGAGACAGAAAUGAUUGAAC
Non-coding RNA from Poecilia reticulata (guppy), 268 nucleotides. NCBI's taxonomy places the organism in Eukaryota, Metazoa, Chordata, Actinopteri, Cyprinodontiformes, Poeciliidae. The record is from RefSeq and is a predicted model, not a curated record.